UACGUAGGUGGCAAGCGAUACUCGGAAUCACUAGGCGUAAAGCGCAGGUAGGCGGUUUGGUAAGUUUCUUGUGAAAGCUCCCGGCUUAACUGGGAGAGGCCAAGGAAAACUACCAGGCUAGAGUGCGGUAGAGGAUGGCGGAGUUCCCGGUGUAGCAGUGAAAUGCGUAGAGAUCGGGAGGAACAUCUGUGGCGAAGGCGGCCAUCUGGACCAGCACUGACACUGAGGCACGAAAAGCGUGGGGAGCAAACAGG
RNAcentral lists this ribosomal RNA (254 nucleotides) under uncultured bacterium. Its description in RNAcentral is "partial 16S ribosomal RNA". It matches the Rfam family "Bacterial small subunit ribosomal RNA", at positions 524 to 776 of the family's 1533-position model. The record is from RNAcentral.